AGGAUCCUGAGGAGUUUAGUUACGGUGAUUUUGUUUUCAACCAACACCACGACAUCGGGAAUUUGAGUUCAAUUACGUAUGGAAAGCCCACUAUGAUGGGACUUCAGAAAUAAUUGAUAGGAUACCCACUUUAAGAGCGGGCUUGAAAACAUAGCUGGACGGCUUCACGGGAUAAAA
Molecule: non-coding RNA, 177 nt
Filed under: Thermoanaerobacterium thermosaccharolyticum
Lineage: Bacteria; Bacillati; Bacillota; Clostridia; Thermoanaerobacterales; Thermoanaerobacteraceae
Description: 6S RNA
Rfam family: 6S / SsrS RNA
About the family: E. coli 6S RNA was the first non coding RNA to be sequenced, but its function was unknown until recently. It consists of 184 nucleotides that fold into an extended hairpin structure with a large single-stranded internal bulge. The 6S RNA specifically associates with RNA polymerase holoenzyme containing the sigma70 specificity factor.
Source: RNAcentral